AUUGAACGCUGGCGGCAGGCUUAACACAUGCAAGUCGAGCGCCCCGCAAGGGGAGCGGCAGACGGGUGAGUAACGCGUGGGAAUCUACCCAUCUCUACGGAAUAACGCAUGGAAACGUGUGCUAAUACCGUAUACGCCCUUAGGGGGAAAGAUUUAUCGGAGAUGGAUGAGCCCGCGUUGGAUUAGCUAGUUGGUGGGGU
This 200-nucleotide ribosomal RNA is filed under the name uncultured bacterium. Its description in RNAcentral is "partial 16S ribosomal RNA". It matches the Rfam family "Bacterial small subunit ribosomal RNA", at positions 30 to 258 of the family's 1533-position model. The record is from RNAcentral.